CAGUCGCCACGGGAAUACGUAGGUGGCAAGCGUUAUCCGGAAUUAUUGGGCGUAAAGCGCGCGUAGGCGGUUUUUUAAGUCUGAUGUGAAAGCCCACGGCUCAACCGUGGAGGGUCAUUGGAAACUGGAAAACUUGAGUGCAGAAGAGGAAAGUGGAAUUCCAUGUGUAGCGGUGAAAUGCGCAGAGAUAUGGAGGAACACCAGUGGCGAAGGCGACUUUCUGGUCUGUAACUGACGCUGAUGUGCGAAAGCGUGGGGAUCAAACAGGAUUAGAUACCCGCGUAGUCCCUGUCUCUUAUAC
Molecule: ribosomal RNA, 301 nt
Filed under: uncultured bacterium
Lineage: Bacteria
Description: partial 16S ribosomal RNA
Rfam family: Bacterial small subunit ribosomal RNA
Source: RNAcentral